RNAcentral lists this ribosomal RNA (400 nucleotides) under uncultured bacterium. Its description in RNAcentral is "bacterial SSU rRNA". It matches the Rfam family "Bacterial small subunit ribosomal RNA", at positions 355 to 772 of the family's 1533-position model. The record is from RNAcentral.
UGGGGAAUAUUGCACAAUGGGGGAAACCCUGAUGCAGCAACGCCGCGUGAGUGAUGACGGCCUUCGGGUUGUAAAGCUCUGUCUUCAGGGACGAUAAUGACGGUACCUGAGGAGGAAGCCACGGCUAACUACGUGCCAGCAGCCGCGGUAAUACGUAGGUGGCGAGCGUUGUCCGGAUUUACUGGGCGUAAAGGGAGCGUAGGCGGACUUUUAAGUGAGAUGUGAAAUACCCGGGCUCAACUUGGGUGCUGCAUUUCAAACUGGAAGUCUAGAGUGCAGGAGAGGAGAAUGGAAUUCCUAGUGUAGCGGUGAAAUGCGUAGAGAUUAGGAAGAACACCAGUGGCGAAGGCGAUUCUCUGGACUGUAACUGACGCUGAGGCUCGAAAGCGUGGGGAGCAAA